Molecule: long non-coding RNA, 175 nt
Organism: Cyprinus carpio (common carp)
Lineage: Eukaryota; Metazoa; Chordata; Actinopteri; Cypriniformes; Cyprinidae
Exons: 2
Source: RefSeq, a predicted model, not a curated record
CGUAAGGUGGAUGUAAAUGAUGGUUACAUUGGUGACGUUCCUCCUCACUGGAUCUCUGAUACAAGGUGUUUUGUGUGGCUUUAAUAUCAGUCUGCCGAAGAGAGUAGAAGCUCUGAAAGGAUCCUGUGUUUUCAUCCCCUGCACAUUUGAUAUUGAUCAACAAUAUGAAGAUGAC